This 333-nucleotide ribosomal RNA is filed under the name uncultured Acidobacteriota bacterium. RNAcentral describes it as "bacterial SSU rRNA". It matches the Rfam family "Bacterial small subunit ribosomal RNA", at positions 568 to 898 of the family's 1533-position model. Lineage: Bacteria; Pseudomonadati; Acidobacteriota. The record is from RNAcentral.
CUCGUAGGUGGCCAACUAAGUCAGACGUGAAAUCCCUCGGCUUAACCGGGGAACUGCGUCUGAUACUGGAUGGCUUGAGUGUGGGAGAGGGAUGCGGAAUUCCAGGUGUAGCGGUGAAAUGCGUAGAUAUCUGGAGGAACACCGGUGGCGAAGGCGGCAUCCUGGACCACGACUGACGCUGAGUGAGCGAAAGCCAGGGGAGCAAACGGGAUUAGAUACCCCGGUAGUCCUGGCCCUAAACGAUGAAUGCUUGGUGUGACGGGUAUCGAUCCCUGUCGUGCCGAAGCUAACGCAUUAAGCAUUCCGCCUGGGGAGUACGGUCGCAAGGCUGAA